GGGCCGGUCGUCUAGCAUGGUAGGACAUCGCCCUUACGAGGCGAAGGUCGCCGGUUCAAGUCCGGCCCGGCCCACCA
This 77-nucleotide transfer RNA is filed under the name Candidatus Bathyarchaeota archaeon. Its description in RNAcentral is "tRNA-Val". It matches the Rfam family "tRNA". Rfam says of the family: Transfer RNA (tRNA) molecules are approximately 80 nucleotides in length. Their secondary structure includes four short double-helical elements and three loops (D, anti-codon, and T loops). The record is from RNAcentral. Lineage: Archaea; Thermoproteati; Candidatus Bathyarchaeota.